RNAcentral lists this ribosomal RNA (241 nucleotides) under uncultured bacterium. RNAcentral describes it as "partial 16S ribosomal RNA". It matches the Rfam family "Bacterial small subunit ribosomal RNA", at positions 113 to 354 of the family's 1533-position model. The record is from RNAcentral.
CGACGUGAGGAACCUGCCUUUCAGAGGGGGACAACAGUUGGAAACGACUGCUAAUACCGCAUAAUAUAUGUUUGUCGCAUGGCAGAUAUAUCAAAGAUUUAUCGCUGAGAGAUGGCCUCGCGUCUGAUUAGCUAGUUGGUAGGGUAAUGGCCUACCAAGGCGACGAUCAGUAGCCGGACUGAGAGGUUGGCCGGCCACAUUGGGACUGAGAUACGGCCCAGACUCCUACGGAAGGCAGCAG